UACGUAGGUGGCAAGCGUUGUCCGGAAUCAUUGGGCGUAAAGGGUACGUAGGCGGAUAAGCAAGUUAGAAGUGAAAUACUAUAGCUCAACUAUAGUAAGAUUUUAAAACUGCUCAUCUUGAGGUAUGGAAGGGAAAGUGGAAUUCCUAGUGUAGCGGUGAAAUGCGCAGAUAUUAGGAGGAAUACAGGUGGCGAAGGCGACUUUCUGGCCAUAAACUGACGCUGAGGUACGAAAGCGUGGGUAGCAAACAGG
RNAcentral lists this ribosomal RNA (252 nucleotides) under uncultured bacterium. Its description in RNAcentral is "partial 16S ribosomal RNA". It matches the Rfam family "Bacterial small subunit ribosomal RNA", at positions 524 to 776 of the family's 1533-position model. The record is from RNAcentral.